Molecule: ribosomal RNA, 381 nt
Filed under: Triticum aestivum (bread wheat)
Lineage: Eukaryota; Viridiplantae; Streptophyta; Magnoliopsida; Poales; Poaceae
Description: partial small subunit ribosomal RNA
Source: RNAcentral
AUGAUGUCUCGUCUCUCGACGGUGAAGUCGGCAAAAGACCGAAUGACAUGGUUCCUGUCCCUCAUGUCCCUAAAACAAACGGAGACAUUCCUUCUUUUGAUGAAGCCUUUUCAGAUCACCGGUGACUUCUCGACAAGUUGGUGCUUGCAAGCGUCCAUUGCCGCAAACACAUGGGUGGUCAGUGGGACUCCCCAGACCAAGAUUCGUUGUCAGAAUCCAUGGCGCUGGCCGCGCCACACCUUUUCCUGCUUCUUCUCGUCUGAGGCGAGCACCAGCGGUACGUAUCAGCCCUCUUCUCUAUGGUGCUGGCUAGACGCAGCAUCUUCACUUCUUUCCUUGCACAUUCCUGUUAAGGAAGCAAAGAAAUCUUGGAUUCAUUAA